Long non-coding RNA from Musa acuminata AAA Group (dessert banana), 1340 nucleotides. RefSeq lists it as uncharacterized. The record is from RefSeq and is a predicted model, not a curated record. The transcript is spliced from 4 exons. Lineage: Eukaryota; Viridiplantae; Streptophyta; Magnoliopsida; Zingiberales; Musaceae.
UCUCUUGCAACUUAUGUCAUACGCCUGGUGGACAACCAAUGUGAAGGAGUGCUCCACCGAAGAGGUCAUACCCAACAUGCGAAACGCCCCACCAUCUUAUCUUGCACUUUUGGCCAAUGUAAUCACAUCAAAUAAGACUUCGAGUCAGAGAUUACUCGUUUCUCGUGUAUGAUUCGACGCAAUCCCCUUGCAAUUUAGCCAAAUGGGCCGCUACAGGUUCCGACCCAUUCAUCAUCGAAGCCCGAAAGUUGCGAGACUAGGCAGCCUCAAUGGCGUUGCAUCCACUCUUUCGGUUCGUGGCGUCGUAUCUCCGAUUCACUUUCUGUUCUGCUUGGGAGGAGCAAACGAGGGCGUGCCUGGAGAUGGGGCACCGAGCUGGUCGAACCCAUAGCCAAUACUCUUUUGGUGCUUCCGUCCAAUGACGGCCAUUGACCAAGCUUUACAAGGAGAAGCACUUUCCUGCAACAGCAUUACACUGGUCAUUGGGAACCCAGAGAGAGACACCAAAGAGUAAAGAGGAGCUUGACAAUGUAGUUGGGAUGACGGCAAUGGCAACAGCAAGUGGUGGCAUCACACGCUAGCAAUGUAUAUCUUUCAUGGAAGGAAAAGGGAUAAGCUACCAAUAGAACAACACAGCAUGAAUUCUUGGCCAGCUGAUGCUCAUGACAUGGCAUCAACAAGUUACAGUGUUUUAAUGUGAAGAAGGAAAAGCCACAGAAGAAGGAAAAGGAACAUGAGACAUCUUCUACUGCAAGCUGAAGCCAUAAAGAAAACCUCUCAAAGAAUCUUCAAUAAAGAAACAGUAGCUGGCGGUUCUUAUGAGACUGGCAGAAUGAUGAGGGGCUAUUAAGUGAGCAAUGUCUUGUGCUUUGCCUUGUCCUUGUUUUGUCAGAUGCCAUGGAGAAAAUUAAGUCUACCUAGGUGAUCUCCUUGACCAUGAUGUAUGCUUAAUUAUUAUGUAUCUGGGUUGUAUUAUAUUUCACCAAGUGUUGAAACUUGGUUACACAAGUUUUUUAGAUAAUUUAGUCCAUAGAGUUGCUGUUAAAAGCUUGCAAAUGAGGAAUCACUGAGAUUUCUUCAAGACAGAAGGGGACAAAGGAGUGAUCUGCUGCUUGUGUUCUGAAUGGCCCCACUUUAUCCCAUCUUAGAGGAGGGAAUGUGUUGGCUCCCUGUGAAUUUUCCUGGAUGCAUAUCAAGUUUAUCCCAGAAUGUGUGGCCUCAAGCUUUUCUUCCUAUUCAUGCAGAGGCUGUGGCAAAGCUUGUAGCAUCUGAUAUUAGAAAGUGUGGUUGAACUGAGAACUCAAUCCAUUCACUCAAGUAGAACCUGAAUUCACUGAACU